AGCCACAAGUCCGUGUGACUCAUAGCCAGCAGGCCCCGGUGACUCAGGCAGAACUGCACAAGGUCACCGAGGGGGCCCAGACUGACCAUCUGCAAGCUGUGUUCUAGUCCCCCACUAAUGACUACAGUGGCCACCGUCAUGUCCUGAUACUGCCAGCCUGUUUCCCACCGUGAAGGAGAGGUGAGGACCCUGCCCAUGUGUCCCUCAGGGAGGCGGUGGGAAUCCCCUCAGACAUUGGAUCUGAAGGCAUUUUAUCAACCAAAAGCUCUGAGCAAGUGUGACAGAAGCAGAGUGGAUAGUGAGUCUGUGAGGGACAUGACCCCUGUUUGAGCCACCAGCGGUAACCAGGAUGCCCCGUAGCACAACGCCCUCCCCAGACUUCCCACAGCUGCUCCUGGAACGAAGGGAAGAAGCCGUCCAUUAACUCCCCAGGGAGCACAGCCAAAGAACCAGAACAGUUUCUGCUGACCACGCCAGUCCAAGCUCUAUGGACAGGGGACACAGAGCCUGCUGUACAUCCCUGGCACCCUGCAGACCAGGAUGGCAAUGCCAUCUCUAGGUGGCGCGGGGCAGAGCCUAGUUGUGAGCCACCUGCAGCCCAUCAAGAGCAAGCCCUGGCCAGAAUGAAUGGACCCUGAAGCUGCCCGGGGUGGAUCCUGAGCAGUAAGAAUGCAAGUGUGUUUGAGAAGAGAAUCCUGGACCAUGUGAGAGCCCAGGAAGGGGCCCCUCGACUGCCUGCACGAAAUCCCCCAAGUCCUCCCUCCCGUCCAGCAGCCCUCGCCUGCUCCUGUGUAGGGCAGUAGGGAGCCAAGUCUUUAAGUGUCAAGCGAUGUGUGGGCAGUGUUGGAAUCUCAGGCUGCCUGCCACGCCCUCAUUGCCCUGCUCUGAGCCCACAUCUUGCACGUGGCUGCAGCAAGCUCAGUCUGCAAGCCAGCUCUUCCUCACUGUCCCCGUCGCUCUGGCCCCUGGGAUUACCAACAGGUGACAACCUUUCCUCUGUACCUCAUCGGGACACCUCCAGACCACUUGGUCAGUAGCAGCAGGUGGCCAUUCAGGACAUGUUCAUCAAAUGAACUGGAUAGAACCGGGGCCCGCUGUCCCAUAGGGUCAUGGAGGGUUGAAGAACCUCAGCCCAAAGCCUAGAGUCUUUGCCUACCUUCCUGGGCCUCACUCCAGCUCCACUGCAGAGCCCAGCCUGUGACCACAGCGACCCGCGAAGGACUCAGGGUUCAGAUGCCAGGUUUGUUAUCAAAGAGAAAGGGCUUGGCUCCACAGCAGGGCCGGCUGUUUUCUCAGUGAAUGGCAAUUCCAGGAAAGUUGGCUCUGCUUGGGAAGACCCAAGACCCAACCUCAGACUAUUCCUGGUACAGAAUGUGACUUUAGUAGGUACAGGAGAAAGGGAGGGAGAACGUGGUGGUGUCACCUCUGAGCCCCUCUGUGGGCCUCAUCUUCCCCAUAUGCAAAGUGGGGGUGAUAGCCAUGCCCCUCCCUAACACAGGUCAAGGGAGAGGGGGGAGCUGGAGGGAGGGCGGAGGAAGGGAAAGGGAGGAGGUUCACUGAAGGUCCUUUGUCAUCUGAAGUGUCAUUUGAGCAGCUGGAAUGGGGCCACCCUCAUGGGUUCUGGGUUUCAGGCUCAUUCCCAGGGGCUAUCAGAGCUGAGCUGUGGCCCAGGUCCCAGCAGGGACAGCUCUCAGGCACUGGGCCAAGGCCAGGAUUGCAUGGUGGACAGAGCACAUAUUGGGACCUGGCCCAGUGCACGCCACACCCCCUGCCCUGCCCAUUUCCUUGUUUCCUCGUUCACUCCUGUCAACCACUGACCUCAGGUGCCUCUUCAUGCCUGCCAGCCUCAGGCACACCUGGCUUUUCAACCGCCAGGUGUCCUGCCCACGGCACAGUGGGGGCUGUGCAAGAAGGAAGGGCCCCUGACUCCCACUGGCCUUCUCCAGGGACCUUCCACCACCACUGAUGACCACCCUGCUCCAGAAGUGUGUGGCCACCACCCGAGGCUCUACAGCAGUGAACCCGUAUCUGUGGGAAAGUCUCGUGCUCCAGCCACAGGCUGCUCCAGGUUGGCGGGCUCCUUGGUACUCUCUGCCCCUCAACACACUCGGGGUACCUCUUCAUCUUUCACUUGCAGAGCUCACUGCAUGCCGACAGACCCCAGCCCCCCAAGGCUCCAGCCUCCCAACUCCUAGGGCUUGCUCCCACAGUGCCCCUCCCACUGCCUGCCCCCCUCCUCCUGAGCAGGAGUCUGGUAUCUUUGGAAUCGUGGCCUUUGCCCUCUCCUCCCAGGGAGUGUGCGGCUGAUUCAUCACACCCACUGAGGGCGAUGGUGGGCACGGACAAGGGCUGGGAGCAUUGGUGACAGAGGGCUGGGAACUUGUGAAAGAGAGACUGGCUGCUGUUUGACCCAGCACAGGAAGAUGUCUGAACCACAGUGCCUUGUGCUGUCCACCCAGGAAGGUGGUGCCAGCCUCCUAGAGCCUGCCCUGGGACAUGAGCACCACACCACGCUGGACUCUGGCUAGACACCCGGGAAAGCCUUGACCAUGCCCUGUGAGGUGCCCCACAGCCCCUCUGCUUUCAUCUAGGGGCUCCCUUGAGUCACAGGCAUUGGGUCACCCACAGUACACCAAGAAAUGGCAGAUGCAGACAGAGCUGGCCAGGGGUCAGGCAGCUCCCACUCCAUGUGACCCAGGCAGGCCGCAGCCCUGCUCUGGGCCGCCCUAUUCUGUCUGUACGAUGGGUGGCAGCCACCAGCCUGCACACCGCACAUGAAUUCUACAGAUCAAAUGAGGCAAUAAAUAGGAACCUGCUGUUGGUGCCAGCAUCGGGGGCUAGUCCUGGAUUAGUGUGAAGUUGGGUGAGUCCGCGCCUGCCUCUGCUGACUCCUCCUCCAAGUCUCCCCCAGCACAGAGUGGGUCCUCCACAAGGCCCGGUCCCACAGGGCUGCAACCUGCAACAGGUGAGUUUCCCUCCAGUGACAACCUGCAGCUCCUGGAGGGAACUCCUGCCCUGGUGUCAGCUGAUCCCGCAGCCCCCCUGGAGGCCACGGCCAAGAGGAGGUGGCAGCCUGGCGGAGGAGGAUCUUUCCUAAGUACCUUCCUGUGGCUCUGAAUUGACCCCGUGAAGCUCGGCCAUCCUCGCUGCAGCCUGUUUCCUUAUCGGGAGAGGAAGAGAGUGAAUGAAAGGGUCGAUUUCUUUCUUUUUUUUCUGCAAAAGCUUAGGCCUGAGACAAAGGAAGCUCUGUGCACCUCGAGACUUGGCCCUUCCUACAUGACGCUCCCAGGGAAGUCGCAAGAUUAAAAAUUAAUAACAGAAACAGCAGACAUCACCCAGUGACUGGAGGCUGAGGAGGAGUCCAAUGAGCCCAGAGUCAGAGCAGGUGGGCACCUUAGAUUCAUCCUCCUGCACCCCCACUUUGCAGAUGGGCAGGCUGAGGUCUAGAAACCAAGGCUACAUAUAAGGCAAGCAGCCUUAGGUCCCCGACUCCCAGGCAGAGUUAUUCCUGUUAGGCCUCGACAUGUUGUUGUUUUGUCUGUGAUGCUGCGCCUGGAACCCCGGGGCCUCUUGCAUGCUACGCAUGUUCUGUGCUGUACCCAGGCCCACCCUUCCACUCUUGACAGUGAGCAGACCCAUGAGGAGGAGGGACACAGGACAGAGACGGAGGAAAAGGCAUGGCAGAGAGGGCAGCUGUCUCGGGGAGAGGGCAGGUGAAGGUACAAAGGAAGGAGGCCUCUCUUGGCUCCCCCUCUUACCCCUGGCUCCGGGGCGGGGGGGGGGGGGUUGCAGGAACUUUGCAGAGUCAGAGGGUCAGUUCCAAGACAGGUCAGUCCUCUUCCAGAUCCUUCAAUAGUUGCCUAUGGGAGGAGCAGAGCAGCCUGGGCCCUGACCACAGAGAGCCAGGUCAUGUGAGGGGCCUCCAAGAAGCACAUUCCAGGCCCUACUGUCAGCAGGUCAGACCCUGAGAGACCAUGUGGCCCCCUCCACCCUCACGUUUGCUUUCAAGGGAAAGGGGACUGAGCGUGGGGAAGGAAGCGGGCAAGCUCAUCUGACUAGCCGGCAGAGCACAACCUGGACCACAGAGGUCCCUCAGCUCCCAGCCAGGGCUCUUCCCUUACUGCAUCCGUCUCCCUGUGCCAGAGGCCAAAGUUUGGAAUGGACAGAGGCACAGGCUGGCUCCCAGCGGCAGCAGUAGCAGGACCUUCCCAGCUCCACCAGGCUGUAUCCAGGCACUGACCUCUCAGCUGCCCUCUGGGGGGUGGGGGUCAUGAGCAAGCAAAUGCCCAGGCCUGGGCCUUGGUGCAGAGCAGGUUCAGGGCGUUGUCCUUGGGUGGGACACAGCAAGGCAAGCCUCUUAAUGUGCCUGGCUCUGCCAUCUGAGGACCCCCUGUGUCCAGAUCACCUGGGGAGCACAUGAAACAUGCAGGUUCUUGUCCCAGCCCUGCCCCCAACCCAGUGAAAAAGCAUAUGUCCCCACGGAGGGGGGCAUCCUCACAACUGCACCCACCAGGGAAAGAAGAUUGCACGAAGAACUUUCCAUGUCCCAGGAUGUCAGCAGAGAGGCCAUGGCCCAUUCGCAGGCUCUGCUCUGAGCAGCUGCUAAUUGGCACCACUGUUCUACUUCAGCUUAAGCCUGAAUGAGGUCACCCUCCUGGUGCCACCCCACAUGAGUCCAAUAAAGAAAGAGCUCCAUGGCCCAGGGCCAGCCAGCCUGGCUCCAACCCUGGGAAGGCCCCGAGCCUGGAAUCAGGACAACUAGGGUGACCAAGAGCCUGGAACAGAAAGACUCCCUGAACGUGAAACUUGAAGCACUGAAAGCAGGAGGAGCUGGUCGCCCGAGACAGUCUGGGACACCUGGGUGUUCCUCCUCUGGGGGGGGGCUCCUGGAAGUCAUGGAAGCCCACCCCGCAGAGCCCCCAAACACUCAGAGCCAGAGCUGGGAGUCCCUGGAGUCGGGCAGGGACCUGCCCCUCAGCAUCAUCCAUUGUUUGCGUGUGUCAGACCUCUGUUCCUCUUGGUGGCCGGUGGGCGGCAGGCCGCAUCUUGUUUAUCCACUCAUCUGUUGAUGGACACUCGACGGGUUCUGCCUUUGCCUCCUGUGACUGGUGCCACUCUGAACAGUUCACAAGUUGGAGAGUCCCUGCUCGCACUCGAUCACCUGCUCACGUGGUCUAUGUUCAGCUACUGAGGAGCCGCCCUGCUGCCCACAGUAGCUGCACGUUUUCCUUCCUUCCAGCAAAGCUCCACGGCUCCCGUCCUCCACAUUCCUGCCAACACCUGUCACUUUCCAACUCUG
Molecule: non-coding RNA, 5299 nt
Organism: Ictidomys tridecemlineatus (thirteen-lined ground squirrel)
Lineage: Eukaryota; Metazoa; Chordata; Mammalia; Rodentia; Sciuridae
Source: RefSeq, a predicted model, not a curated record